RNAcentral lists this ribosomal RNA (496 nucleotides) under uncultured bacterium. RNAcentral's name for it is "partial 16S ribosomal RNA". It matches the Rfam family "Bacterial small subunit ribosomal RNA", at positions 29 to 507 of the family's 1533-position model. The record is from RNAcentral.
AUGAACGCUGGCGGCGUGCCUAAUACAUGCAGGUCGAGCGAACAGACGAGGAGCUUGCUCCUCUGACGUUAGCGGCGGACGGGUGAGUAACACGUGGAUAACCUACCUAUAAGACUGGGAUAACUUCGGGAAACCGGAGCUAAUACCGGAUAAUAUAUUGAACCGCAUGGUUCAAUAGUGAAAGACGGUUUUGCUGUCACUUAUAGAUGGAUCCGCGCCGCAUUAGCUAGUUGGUAAGGUAACGGCUUACCAAGGCAAUGAUGCGUAGCCGACCUGAGAGGGUGAUCGGCCACACUGGAACUGAGACACGGUCCAGACUCCUACGGGAGGCAGCAGUAGGGAAUCUUCCGCAAUGGGCGAAAGCCUGACGGAGCAACGCCGCAUGAGUGAUGAAGGUCUUCGGAUCGUAAAACUCUGUUAUUAGGGAAGAACAAAUGUGUAAGUAACUAUGCACGUCUUGACGGUACCUAAUCAGAAAGCCACGGCUAACUACGUG